GACGAACGCUGGCGGCGUGCUUAACACAUGCAAGUCGAACGGAAAGGCCCUGCUUUUGUGGGGUGCUCGAGUGGCGAACGGGUGAGUAACACGUGAGUAACCUGCCCUUGACUUUGGGAUAACUUCAGGAAACUGGGGCUAAUACCGGAUAGGAGCUCCUGCUGCAUGGUGGGGGUUGGAAAGUUUCGGCGGUUGGGGAUGGACUCGCGGCUUAUCAGCUUGUUGGUGGGGUAGUGGCUUACCAAGGCUUUGACGGGUAGCCGGCCUGUGAGGGUGACCGGCCACAUUGGGACUGAGAUACGGCGCAGACGCCUACGGGAGGCAGCAGUGGGGAAUAUUGCACAAUGGGCGGGAGCCUGAUGCAGCAACGCCGCGUGCGGGAUGACGGCCUUCGGGUUGUAAACCGCUUUCGCCUGUUACGAAGCGGGAGUGACGGUAAUGGGUAAAGAAGCACCGGCUAACUACGUG
This 468-nucleotide ribosomal RNA is filed under the name uncultured bacterium. Its description in RNAcentral is "partial 16S ribosomal RNA". It matches the Rfam family "Bacterial small subunit ribosomal RNA", at positions 28 to 507 of the family's 1533-position model. The record is from RNAcentral.